RNAcentral lists this ribosomal RNA (2921 nucleotides) under Klebsiella pneumoniae. Its description in RNAcentral is "bacterial LSU rRNA". It matches the Rfam family "Bacterial large subunit ribosomal RNA". Lineage: Bacteria; Pseudomonadati; Pseudomonadota; Gammaproteobacteria; Enterobacterales; Enterobacteriaceae. The record is from RNAcentral.
GGGUUGUGAGGUUAAGCGACUAAGCGUACACGGUGGAUGCCCUGGCAGUCAGAGGCGAUGAAGGACGUGCUAAUCUGCGAAAAGCGUCGGUAAGGUGAUAUGAACCGUUAUAACCGGCGAUGUCCGAAUGGGGAAACCCAGUGCAAUUCGUUGCACUAUCGUUAACUGAAUACAUAGGUUAACGAGGCGAACCGGGGGAACUGAAACAUCUAAGUACCCCGAGGAAAAGAAAUCAACCGAGAUUCCCCCAGUAGCGGCGAGCGAACGGGGAGCAGCCCAGAGUCUGAAUCAGCUUGUGUGUUAGUGGAACGGUCUGGAAAGUCCGACGGUACAGGGUGAUAGUCCCGUACACCAAAAUGCACAGGCUGUGAACUCGAAGAGUAGGGCGGGACACGUGGUAUCCUGUCUGAAUAUGGGGGGACCAUCCUCCAAGGCUAAAUACUCCUGACUGACCGAUAGUGAACCAGUACCGUGAGGGAAAGGCGAAAAGAACCCCGGCGAGGGGAGUGAAAAAGAACCUGAAACCGUGUACGUACAAGCAGUGGGAGCACCUUCGGGUGUGACUGCGUACCUUUUGUAUAAUGGGUCAGCGACUUAUAUUCUGUAGCAAGGUUAACCGUAUAGGGGAGCCGCAGGGAAACCGAGUCUUAACUGGGCGUUAAGUUGCAGGGUAUAGACCCGAAACCCGGUGAUCUAGCCAUGGGCAGGUUGAAGGUUGGGUAACACUAACUGGAGGACCGAACCGACUAAUGUUGAAAAAUUAGCGGAUGACUUGUGGCUGGGGGUGAAAGGCCAAUCAAACCGGGAGAUAGCUGGUUCUCCCCGAAAGCUAUUUAGGUAGCGCCUCGUGAACUCAUCUUCGGGGUAGAGCACUGUUUCGGCUAGGGGGUCAUCCCGACUUACCAACCCGAUGCAAACUACGAAUACCGAAGAAUGUUAUCACGGGAGACACACGGCGGGUGCUAACGUCCGUCGUGAAGAGGGAAACAACCCAGACCGCCAGCUAAGGUCCCAAAGUCAUGGUUAAGUGGGAAACGAUGUGGGAAGGCACAGACAGCCAGGAUGUUGGCUUAGAAGCAGCCAUCAUUUAAAGAAAGCGUAAUAGCUCACUGGUCGAGUCGGCCUGCGCGGAAGAUGUAACGGGGCUAAACCAUGCACCGAAGCUGCGGCAGCGACACUAUGUGUUGUUGGGUAGGGGAGCGUUCUGUAAGCCUGCGAAGGUGUGCUGUGAGGCAUGCUGGAGGUAUCAGAAGUGCGAAUGCUGACAUAAGUAACGAUAAAGCGGGUGAAAAGCCCGCUCGCCGGAAGACCAAGGGUUCCUGUCCAACGUUAAUCGGGGCAGGGUGAGUCGACCCCUAAGGCGAGGCCGAAAGGCGUAGUCGAUGGGAAACAGGUUAAUAUUCCUGUACUUGGUGUUACUGCGAAGGGGGACGGAGAAGGCUAUGUUAGCCGGGCGACGGUUGUCCCGGUUUAAGCAUGUAGGCUGAUUGUCCAGGCAAAUCCGGAUAAUCAAGGCUGAGGUGUGAUGACGAGGCACUACGGUGCUGAAGUAACAAAUGCCCUGCUUCCAGGAAAAGCCUCUAAGCAUCAGGUAACAUUAAAUCGUACCCCAAACCGACACAGGUGGUCAGGUAGAGAAUACCAAGGCGCUUGAGAGAACUCGGGUGAAGGAACUAGGCAAAAUGGUGCCGUAACUUCGGGAGAAGGCACGCUGGUGUGUAGGUGAAGUCCCUGCGGAUGGAGCUGAGACCAGUCGAAGAUACCAGCUGGCUGCAACUGUUUAUUAAAAACACAGCACUGUGCAAACACGAAAGUGGACGUAUACGGUGUGACGCCUGCCCGGUGCCGGAAGGUUAAUUGAUGGGGUUAUCCGUAAGGAGAAGCUCUUGAUCGAAGCCCCGGUAAACGGCGGCCGUAACUAUAACGGUCCUAAGGUAGCGAAAUUCCUUGUCGGGUAAGUUCCGACCUGCACGAAUGGCGUAAUGAUGGCCAGGCUGUCUCCACCCGAGACUCAGUGAAAUUGAACUCGCUGUGAAGAUGCAGUGUACCCGCGGCAAGACGGAAAGACCCCGUGAACCUUUACUAUAGCUUGACACUGAACAUUGAGCCUUGAUGUGUAGGAUAGGUGGGAGGCUUUGAAGCGUGGACGCCAGUCUGCGUGGAGCCAACCUUGAAAUACCACCCUUUAAUGUUUGAUGUUCUAACGUUGGCCCCUGACCGGGGUUGCGGACAGUGUCUGGUGGGUAGUUUGACUGGGGCGGUCUCCUCCCAAAGCGUAACGGAGGAGCACGAAGGUUAGCUAAUCCUGGUCGGACAUCAGGAGGUUAGUGCAAUGGCAUAAGCUAGCUUGACUGCGAGCGUGACGGCGCGAGCAGGUGCGAAAGCAGGUCAUAGUGAUCCGGUGGUUCUGAAUGGAAGGGCCAUCGCUCAACGGAUAAAAGGUACUCCGGGGAUAACAGGCUGAUACCGCCCAAGAGUUCAUAUCGACGGCGGUGUUUGGCACCUCGAUGUCGGCUCAUCACAUCCUGGGGCUGAAGUAGGUCCCAAGGGUAUGGCUGUUCGCCAUUUAAAGUGGUACGCGAGCUGGGUUUAGAACGUCGUGAGACAGUUCGGUCCCUAUCUGCCGUGGGCGCUGGAGAAUUGAGGGGGGCUGCUCCUAGUACGAGAGGACCGGAGUGGACGCAUCACUGGUGUUCGGGUUGUCAUGCCAAUGGCACUGCCCGGUAGCUAAAUGCGGAAGAGAUAAGUGCUGAAAGCAUCUAAGCACGAAACUUGCCCCGAGAUGAGUUCUCCCUGAGACUUUAAGUCUCCUGAAGGAACGUUAAAGACGAUGACGUUGAUAGGCCGGGUGUGUAAGCGCAGCGAUGCGUUGAGCUAACCGGUACUAAUGAACCGUGAGGCUUAACCUUACAACGCCGAAG